RNAcentral lists this ribosomal RNA (492 nucleotides) under uncultured bacterium. Its description in RNAcentral is "partial 16S ribosomal RNA". It matches the Rfam family "Bacterial small subunit ribosomal RNA", at positions 29 to 507 of the family's 1533-position model. The record is from RNAcentral.
AGUGAACGCUGGCGGUAGGCCUAACACAUGCAAGUCGAACGGCAGCACAGUAAGAGCUUGCUCUUACGGGUGGCGAGUGGCGGACGGGUGAGGAAUACAUCGGAAUCUACUUUUUCGUGGGGGAUAACGUAGGGAAACUUACGCUAAUACCGCAUACGACCUACGGGUGAAAGCAGGGGAUCUUCGGACCUUGCGCGAUUGAAUGAGCCGAUGUCGGAUUAGCUAGUUGGCGGGGUAAAGGCCCACCAAGGCGACGAUCCGUAGCUGGUCUGAGAGGAUGAUCAGCCACACUGGAACUGAGACACGGUCCAGACUCCUACGGGAGGCAGCAGUGGGGAAUAUUGGACAAUGGGCGCAAGCCAGAUCCAGCCACACCGCGUGGGUGAAGAAGGCCUUCGGGUUGUAAAGCCCUUUUGUUGGGAAAGAAAAGCAGCAGGUUAAUACCCCGCUGUUCCGACGGUACCCAAAGAAUAAGCACCGGCUAACUUCGUG